UGGGGAAUUUUGGACAAUGGGGGCAACCCUGAUAAUCAAUGCCGCGUGAGUGAAAAAGGCCUUCGGGUUGUCCAGCUCUUUCGGCGGGGAAGAAAGGGCAACGGCUAAUAUCCGUUGUUGAUGACGGUACCCUCAUAGGAGGCCGGGAAUUUAGGGCCCCGGGCCGCGGUAUUGAA
RNAcentral lists this ribosomal RNA (176 nucleotides) under uncultured Azospira sp. RNAcentral describes it as "partial 16S ribosomal RNA". It matches the Rfam family "Bacterial small subunit ribosomal RNA", at positions 355 to 530 of the family's 1533-position model. Lineage: Bacteria; Pseudomonadati; Pseudomonadota; Betaproteobacteria; Rhodocyclales; Rhodocyclaceae. The record is from RNAcentral.